ACUAGUGUCCUAUAGUAACACAGAAGCUAUCUGUUCAACUCUGAUGAGUUAAUAGAGUUGGAUCGUUCCACUUCUGACAGCU
This 82-nucleotide small nucleolar RNA is filed under the name Gallus gallus (chicken). RNAcentral describes it as "partial GGN151 snoRNA". The record is from RNAcentral. Lineage: Eukaryota; Metazoa; Chordata; Aves; Galliformes; Phasianidae.